RNAcentral lists this ribosomal RNA (123 nucleotides) under Bison bison bison. RNAcentral describes it as "5.8S ribosomal RNA (ENSBBBG00000025308.1)". It matches the Rfam family "5.8S ribosomal RNA", at positions 31 to 154 of the family's 154-position model. Rfam says of the family: 5.8S ribosomal RNA (5.8S rRNA) is a component of the large subunit of the eukaryotic ribosome. It is transcribed by RNA polymerase I as part of the 45S precursor that also contains 18S and 28S rRNA. Lineage: Eukaryota; Metazoa; Chordata; Mammalia; Artiodactyla; Bovidae. The record is from Rfam by way of RNAcentral.
CGUCGAUGAAGAACGCAGCUAGCUGCGAGAAUUAAUAGUGAAUUGCAGGACACAUUGAUCAUCGACACUUCGAACGCACUUGCGCCCCGGGUUCCUCCCGGGGCUACGCCUGUCUGAGCGUCG